UCCUACGGGGGGCAGCAGUGAGGAAUAUUGGUCAAUGGUCGGGAGACUGAACCAGCCAAGCCGCGUGAGGGAUGAAGGUACAGAGUAUCGUAAACCUCUUUUGUCAGGGAACAAAGGCGGGGACGCGUCCCCGGAUGAGUGUACCUGAAGAAAAAGCAUCGGCUAACUCCGUGCCAGCAGCCGCGGUAAUACGGAGGAUGCGAGCGUUAUCCGGAUUUAUUGGGUUUAAAGGGUGCGUAGGCGGACUGUCAAGUCAGCGGUAAAAUACGGGGGCUCAACCUCCGCCCGCCGUU
Molecule: ribosomal RNA, 293 nt
Filed under: uncultured bacterium
Lineage: Bacteria
Description: partial 16S ribosomal RNA
Rfam family: Bacterial small subunit ribosomal RNA
Source: RNAcentral